GAGUGGGAGAAGUGAGGGAUGAAGUAGAGGGGCAAGGGCGGAGGAUGGGGGAAGAAAAUGCAGCGAUACAUAGGAGGGAGGAGGAAGAAAGAUAUACGUUCUUUUUCUCUCUCGUAUUUUUUUUUUUUUUUUUUUCCGUUUCAAGUUUGCUUUGAUUUAGAUCUUUUUCUAGAAUGUGGGUAACAAGAAGUGAAAGUGCCCAAAUUUGUGCAUCC
RNAcentral lists this long non-coding RNA (215 nucleotides) under Coffea arabica (coffee). RNAcentral describes it as "long non-coding RNA (CARA_LNC001088)". Lineage: Eukaryota; Viridiplantae; Streptophyta; Magnoliopsida; Gentianales; Rubiaceae. The record is from RNAcentral.